GGUGAGAUGGCCGAGCGGUCUAAGGCGCCAGCUUAAGGUGUUUACUUCGUUGUAAUCCAUGAAACGCUGGUCCGAAAGGGCGUGGGUUCGAAUGUACGCUCCAAUCA
Non-coding RNA from Recurvomyces mirabilis, 107 nucleotides. NCBI's taxonomy places the organism in Eukaryota, Fungi, Ascomycota, Dothideomycetes, Mycosphaerellales, Teratosphaeriaceae. The record is from the annotation of a RefSeq genome assembly.